RNAcentral lists this transfer RNA (92 nucleotides) under Sulfolobus acidocaldarius DSM 639. It matches the Rfam family "tRNA". From Rfam's summary of the family: Transfer RNA (tRNA) molecules are approximately 80 nucleotides in length. Their secondary structure includes four short double-helical elements and three loops (D, anti-codon, and T loops). Further hydrogen bonds mediate the characteristic L-shaped molecular structure. tRNAs have two regions of fundamental functional importance: the anti-codon, which is responsible for specific mRNA codon recognition, and the 3' end, to which the tRNAs corresponding amino acid is attached (by aminoacyl-tRNA synthetases). tRNAs cope with the degeneracy of the genetic code in two manners: having more than one tRNA (with a specific anti-codon) for a particular amino acid; and 'wobble' base-pairing, i.e. permitting non-standard base-pairing at the 3rd anti-codon position. Lineage: Archaea; Thermoproteati; Thermoproteota; Thermoprotei; Sulfolobales; Sulfolobaceae. The record is from Rfam by way of RNAcentral.
GCCGGGGUGGCCGAGCGGUCUAAGGCGGCGGGCCGCAGAGUAUAACACGCCGAGACCCGUUAUUUUCGCGGGUUCAAAUCCCGCCCCCGGCU